CUACUACUCCCUCCAUUACAAAAUUCUUGUCUUAGAUUCGUCUAGAUACAAAUUAUCUAAUACUAAAACGUGACUUGAUACAUCCGUAUUUAAACAAAUCUAAGACAAGAAUUUUGGGACGGAUGGAGUAUGUC
Non-coding RNA from Triticum aestivum (bread wheat), 134 nucleotides. NCBI's taxonomy places the organism in Eukaryota, Viridiplantae, Streptophyta, Magnoliopsida, Poales, Poaceae. The record is from Rfam.